Molecule: long non-coding RNA, 1594 nt
Organism: Bombyx mori (domestic silkworm)
Lineage: Eukaryota; Metazoa; Arthropoda; Insecta; Lepidoptera; Bombycidae
Exons: 2
Source: RefSeq, a predicted model, not a curated record
CCGUUUUGAACCCCACUCUCCACAAACUCCAUGUUAACGGUUCUGCAGAGAUCGGGCACGUACAUCGUCAGCUUCGAGUCCUCAGUCAGGUUCCUCGGGAUAUACUCGCCAGCGCUUCCUGAUAACUGACCAGCAAUAUACUGCAGCCAAUCGAGACAAAAGAGAAAGAUUUUUGAAAGGAUGACAUUAGAAAACUCACAGAGAAGAACCAGCCGAAUCGAUCCAGAGCUGGUGCACCUCCUCUAACACUGGCUGGCAUCAGCUUGGCCAGGUUCAAGAGCGGGUCCUCGUAGCCUUCGAAGAGGAACUCACUGGCUCUCGCCGUUACGGACACCUUCGUGUGCUGCGAGCUCGUCAGGGUCAAAGACACGAGCUUCUGUUCGAUAAAUCCACUGAACCUCGCCUGGUAAAUCGCUGACUGUAAUACAAGACAGCAUCAUCAUUAUCCGACCGGUCCCUGUAUGUCCAAUAUCGUAUAUGUUGCAUACGUCGCAAAGUCGAAGAGCUACCUCAAUUCAUUAAAACUAUCAUCAGAUCAGUUUUCUAGAUGAUUCCAUGGGAACCAUGUUUCGAUUAAAAUCGACAAACAUUUGUUUUUAAUCCAUAUCACCGAGGAGCGGCCCAACUACUGUUAAAUAGUUCACGGAGCUUACAGACUUUACGAUGUGAAUGUGACUAAGCAUCUUGAAAUAUGAAGUCGAAGUCAUUUUGAAUCGUAUUAUAUAACGACUAGCCGUACUCGCCCGCUUCGUUGGGCAUUUAAAAUUAACAUUAUUAUUCAUUGUCAUUAUUAUUAGGGAGUCCAACACUCAUAUAAAUAUUAGCCUAUCCAUUAAGUACAUGUAUUUUCUACAUGGAUACCAAGUUUCAAGUCAAUCGGAUGCAUGGUUCAGUAGUUAUAACGGAACAUCCGUAAAAAUCACUAUAGAUUUAUAUAUUAGUAUAGAUUGUUCCAUCCACCAUGUUGGAAAGCGCUGCUCCCUGGGAGAAAUAGACAGGAUAGUGGUCUGAGUGGACUUACAAGACGUCCUGACGGUGGGGAACUACAGUCCGGCAAAUGAAAAAAUGCGUUCCUGGCAAUAAGUUGGUUCGUUUAGUGUACGAUGUACAUAAAUUCACGUCCGCGAUUUUUAAUUUGCCCUACUAAUAAAUAAAUAAAUAAUAAUUUCUCAAUCAACUUGUAUGUUUGUAAGUACCAACAUAUAUCCUGCUAACGGCUGCACCUUACGCAUCAAAACAUAGUUAGAUCUCAGAGAGCACAUUCUUUGCCCUGAAGCGAUUGGUUUUGUCAAAGUAGUCGAGUUUAAGAUAGAUUUGUGUCUGGACAGAGAUUUCUGUGGGUGACAGCAACUGGCUUAUAGUCUCUCCAGCCUUUGCGAGCAAUAGUAAUUAUGUAUGUGUAUCGAUUGGUGGUAAAUCAUUUAUGUUCUCAUCAGAUUACCAGGGCUCUUGAAACUGCGAUACUUUAAGACAAACCCUUUUUGUGUAUGGAAACUAGCGACAUCUUGUAGCGGAUGCCCCUAAACUUAUAUGUUGUUACAGUUAAGGCUUUUAAUUAUUGUAUAACUAAAUACAGAAAAAAAAAAACAUAUAA